RNA transcript from Callithrix jacchus (white-tufted-ear marmoset), 6934 nucleotides. RefSeq lists it as uncharacterized. Lineage: Eukaryota; Metazoa; Chordata; Mammalia; Primates; Cebidae. The record is from RefSeq and is a predicted model, not a curated record.
AGCAAAUUUGGGAUGCACAUACAUCCUUUCAUUGGAUUCUUGUUAUAUCCCUUUGAGGUCAGCAUAGCAAGUACUAUAGACUCGCUUUUUUUUUUUCCCCACAGAGGAAGAAACUGAGGCUAUAGAACAAAACUUGCUGAAGGUCACUCAGGUUGGGCUGUGGGACUUGUUUUCCUGCCCCGAGCCCAGCAUCCUUCCCACCAUCCAACACUGUUUCCUUUCUUGGUACCUCCAUUAUUAGAACACCUGGAUAUUCUUAGCUAACAAUGGAUGACAUAAAUAAACACAGGGUCAUUUCCCCACAUUUCCGCACAGGUCCUCUGCAGAUGGCAAAGCCCUUUCUCUAAAUGCACGGCAUGAAAAGGCGUUUCAAAGGGGGAAGCAGGCCCCCCGCAAAGGAGGUAAAUCCCCACAGAUGAAGAUACCUCAUUGAUCCUUCAUUUGUCAGCCAGAAAGGGAAAGACAUUUCAGCAGAGACCUCAAAGACAGAACAAAAUAAAUAGGUGCAAGGAGGCGCACAUCUGCACUAAGUUCUGAGACCCUGCCCAGGAUGAGCUCGAAAAGAAAACGGAGUCUCUUCCCACAGCUGAAACAGCGUCUUGCUCUGUUGCCUAGGCUGGAGUGUAAUGGAAGGAUCAUAACUCACCACAGCCUUGACCUCUUGUGCUCAGUGAUCUGCCCACCUAUCCCCUCCUAGAUAACAAUUCUGCCUCUGAUUCCUGCCUGCAAGUUCAGCUCAUUCAGACCCGUAUUUGUGACCCCCCUCCCUUGGUGCUGAAGACCCGCUGGGGACAGCAGAAUGAACCAGCUCGGAGAGGAGACCGGGAGGCAGGAGCAGGGAAGACCUGAACUUCUAAAGACUCAAGUCAGCCGGGCACGGUGGCUCAUGCCUGUAAUCCCAACACUUUGGGAGGCCAGGUGGGUGGAUCACCUGAGGUCAGGAGUUGGAGACCAGGCUGGUGAACAUGGUAAAACCCGGUGUCUGCUAAAAAUACAAAAACAUUUAAAAAUUUUUAAAAGAAUGAUAGCUGGGCAUGGUGGUGUGUGCCUGUAAUCCCUGCUACUUGGGAGGCUGAGGGGGAAUUGCUUGAACCUGGGAAGCAGAGGUUGCAGUAAGCCGAGAUUGUGCCAUUGCACUCCAGGCUGAGUGACAGAGUGAGACUCUGUCUAAAAAAAAAAAACAAACACUCCAGUCAAUGGCAAAGUCACCCAUGGGGGAACUGAGAGGGGUUCCAGGGAGCUGUGGCCUAGUGAUCAGACAAAGGGCGUAUCCACCACCCAGGGGCCCACAUAAAAGCUCCUGGGUAACCCACAUCUUCACUCGUAAUUAUGGGCAGGACCAGCUUCCUGGGUGCAACCCGUGCAGGCACAUGGGGCCCCACAGUCACAAGAGCCCUGUCGCUGUCUCAGACUUUCUUUCUUUCUUUUUUCUUUUUCUUUUUUUGAGACAGCGUCAUACUCUGUUCCCAGGCUACAGUGCAGUGGCAUAAUCUCGGCUCACUGCAACCUCCGCCUCCCUGGUUCAAGUGGUCCUCCCACUCAAUAACUACACAAGGGGGGCCCUGCAUUUUCAUUUUGUACUGGACUUCCCAAAUUACAUAGCUGGUCCUGAAUGCCAGAAUGGCCAGUGAGGGGAGAUGUCUUUUGCCUCCUCCCCACCCCGAGGCCCAUGGUGCCCCACGAGGAAUGGGAUUCAACUUGUCCUGAGUCUUUUUGCCCCCAGAAUGGCCUUUUUCUCCAGCUCACUGCUUAAUGCCUUCACUGUCUUGUUUUCAAUCCUUUCCUCGCUAUGAGUACAUAUUGGUUUCCUACUGCAGACAUAACAAAGUGCCACAACCUUGGUGGCUUAAACAGUAUGAAUGGACUAUCUUACAGUUCUGUGGUUAGGAGUCCCACCUGGGUCUCAAUGGGCUGAAAUCAAAGUAUCGGCCAGGUGCGGUGGCUCACGCCUGUAAUCUCGGCACUUUGGGAGACUGAGGCGGGUGGAUCACAAGGUCUGGAGAUUGAGACCAUCCUGGCCAACUUGCUGAGAUUCUGUCUGUACUAAAAAUACAAAAAAUUAGCCAUGUGUGGUGGCACACGCCUAUAGUUUCAGCUACUCGGGAGGCUAAGGCAGGAGAAUCACUUGAACCUGGGAGGCAGAGGUUGCUGAGAUCACGCCACCGCACUCUAGCCUGGGUGACAGAGCAAUACUCUGUCUCAAAAAAAAAAAAAAAAAGUAUCUCCUUGAGGCUCUGAGGGGAGAAUUUGUCUCCCUGUGUAUUCUAGCUUCUGGAGGCCACCCACCUUCCUUGGCUUAUGGCCCCUUCCUCCAUCUCCAAAGCCAGCAAGGGUGGGUGGAAUUCUUCCUUCCCGGCAUUCCCCUGGCUUCCUUUUCUGCCUCCCUCUCCUGCUUGCAAGGAUCCUGGAUGAUCUCCUUAUUUGAAGGUCUGCUGAUUAAUCCCAUCUUCAACCUUAAUUACCCUUUGCAGUGUAAACUAACAUACUCAAAGAUUCUGGGAAUUAAAGUAGGGACAUCUUUGGAGGGGGUCACUUUUUUACCUACCUUAUCUUUUUCCUUCUUUCCACAAUCCAGAGUUCUAGCUUAUCAGGUCCCUUGACAUAUUUUGUUUAAAGCUUUUUUAUAUUAACCUUAAAGAGAAACUGAUGGAAAAGAAGGAGAGAAAAAGGGGUAGGGGGAAGAGCGGUGAAGGAAGAGGUAAAGAUGUUUAUAACCUCUCGAUUUAUGUUUUUGUGUUCAAAACUCCCUCCACUACUUCCGCCUCUAUUUAGCACUAUUAUGUCUUACAUACUUGAGAUCUACAAAAAUUUUAAAGUUUGAAGAAAAAUGUACUUAUGAGAAAGUGGUAGGAAUCAUACCCAUUGAGCAGGUAUAAGAAUUGAGGUCUUAGAAAAGGGCUUUUUGGAAGGAGACUAGAAGAGCGAAAUCCCCAAAUAAUUGCAUUUCUCUCUUUUCCUCUGAAUAUGGAAGCUCUGCUCUGGAUCUCACUAAUUGCCUGCGACUCUGAAAUUUCUCUAGAAAAUCUUCAAUCACUUCCUCCCUCCAAGGUUCUCCCUUCCUUUGAAGGGGCAUGCAAAACUCCGAGUCAAUGCUAACGUUCCCCUGUGGGUCCCUUACAUGCAUUUCUCCCCCGGCUGGGACUCGCAAACAUGAGCUCUUGGGCAUAUUGCUGAGCGAGGAUCCUGGCGUGGCAAGUGCAGCCAGCUGGUCUCGUACCCACAUCUUUUCAGUAAAUUUCUCUCAAGCAUAUGUACACACACAAAUACGCCUUCUGUUGAAGGCAAUGAAAUAAUCUUUCACCGCAGAGGCUGGAGAAAAUGUGCAGAACUGUGAAAUGAAAGCAGUGCUUUCAGGUCUGGUUAUGGUUUUUCAUGGAGUGGAGACCCUGUUGUCACCAUUGCUGAGCACUCGCAGGCCGCGUGGAAGUCUGGUGGGACACGUUAGUCUCCAGUGCAGGCUCCUGGGAGAGGCAUCCCACUCCAGCCUGGCUAAGGAGGCUCCACAGUCAGCCCCAUCUCAGGGCUGUCUUCCUUUCUUUGUGGCACAGAUCACGCUUGGAGAUCACCUUAUGGAUCUGCUCGUGUGUUGUCCAACUCCUCACUGGAAUGUAAGCCCAACCAUCUGUUUUGCUUCCCGCUGUUCCCCCAGUGGACUUAGAUGCUCAAUCCACUUCGUCACAUGCCUGGGUAUGGGUAAAGUGUGUCUUUGUUCUAUGCCCAUGGGUCAUUGCACCUGUGCAUUGGGCCACCCUACCCCUCUGCCGUGGGGUUGCCUACCUGAUCCAAGCUUCUGGCUCGUCCUCUUCUCCCUCUGGGGAAUCUGACCUACAAUACAGGGACAGGCUUUGCUAGCUAGAGGUCACUCUGCAGGAAACAUGGGCUGCACCAGGUCCUGGGGAGCUGAAACAAGAGGGCAGAGGAAGCUGAUUCCUGCCAGGACUGGGACAACAGCAAGGGAAGCCGAGGUUCCACGGGUCCUCUCAGGGCACUGUCUAGUGGAAGAGAAGCAAUGAGCCCUUGCAGCUCAGCACCAUGGUGCCCUCACAGGGCCAGCUCUGGGCUGCUGGGCACAGAAAAGCAAACUGCACUUUCCUUCUGAGGGCAGCCCGGGAAGGCUUCCAGAGGAGGGGAUCUUGAGUUGAAACAUGAAGAAUGAGUGGGCAUGCCAGGGGUGAGGAGAUGAAUGCAAAUCCCAUUACUGCUGCUGUGUCAGAUCCUCUCCCUAAAAGAACUCCUCUCUCUCUUUCUCUCUCUUUGAGACAGGGUCUUGCUCUGUUGCUCAGGCUGGAGUGCAGUGGUGAGAUCAUAGCUUAUUGCAACCUUGACCUCUUGGGCAAGCAGUUCUCCCACCUCACCCUCCAGAGGGGUUAAGACAUUCGCAAGCCACCACAGCUGUCUAAUUUCUAUUUUUCAGUUUUUGUAGAGGCAGGGUCUUACUUUGUUGCCCAGACUGGUCUUGAACACCUGGCCUCAAGUGAUCUUCCUGCCUUGGCCUCCCAAAGUGUUGAGAUUACAGGGGUGAGCCACUGCACCCGGCCUUCCCAAUUUCUUUCUCUGUGAAAGAGAAUAAGAGUCUCCAUGGUUUUGAGGGGUCACAACAAUGGGAGCUCAAGUGCCUGACUCCUGGCACUUGUAGCAGGUAGCUCUUAUUCCAGGUGACAAGGUGGCAUACACUUCCUGUCUGCUCUCUGCCCUUCAUUUCCUCCCUAUUGCCUUGUCUGGGUUCAAACCCUCUUCCUUGCCCAAGCUUGCAUGGCGGCUGUUGCCUGUACCAAUUUCACGAUUAAGACCCAUGUGCCUCAGCCAGGGCUGUGCCUGGAUGCCACCCAGUGUGACCCCUGACCAGUAGCCCAGGCUGCCCCUGGCUUUUUUCUUGCCUUCAUCAUUAGGAUCUAUGCAUCCCCCUGGGGCUUGCAGUGACGCCCAGCACAGCUGCUGUCAUGGCCUGCCAGCUCUGCCUGCCCCACCCUUUGCUGUUCAAAGCCAAGCCCCUAACCAGGCUGGGUCUGAGGAACAGGGUGGACGUAGAUCAAAGGCGUGGCCAUUUGAGGAGCAUUCCAUGAUAACAUCACCAGCAGCUAGGUUCUGCUGCUUUGGGGAAGUCACUCAUGCUUUGUCCCACCCCUGCCACCUUCUUUCUUUUCUUUAUUUUUCUCAGGGCCAUGGAGAAAGGAUUCAUGAGCUCAUGUCUCAGAAAUGCUUUGAAGAUGAGAAACACUGAGCAUUUUCCCAACAGCCCUCAAUUUACUUUUUCAGCAUUCUCUCUGGGUUGUCAAGCCUUUGUAGUUAUUUUUAUAAAUAGUAAUCGCUGGCUGCUUCCAUUUUUACCCAGGAAAACUCCACCUCCAGCUGGAACUGGCUGCCAUCCUACAGCAAACCAGCCUUGGGGCUAGAUCUGUCCCCAUUUUUCUUGACCAAAUCCCUUUGUACAUCCCUCCCUGUGUUGCAGACCCCACCUCACUGUCUCUUGUAUGCUUCCAAUUCCACCCUGUCUCCCUGUCACCAAGCCACCCAUCUGUCCCAAUUACUCCUCUCUUCAUAAACAGUCCAAGUUCUCCAACAUGGCGCAGAAGGCCCUCAGUGAAUUAGCCACCACUCACCUGUUUAGCCACAUCCCUGGUCUUGUCCCUACCACUUCCGGGCUCAGUCAUCCUGAACUACCUGUUGUUCCCUAAAAUGGCAGGCCAGGUCACGCCUCCAGGCCAGGAGGGAAGACAGUCCAUAGAAAACAGAGACGGAGGCCGGGUGUGGUGGCUCACACCUGUAAUCCCAGCACUUUGGGAGGCCGAGGUGGGCAGAUUGCCUGAGGGCAGGAGUUUGAGAUCAGCCUGACCAACCUAGUGAAACCCUGUCUUUACUAGAAAUACAAAAAUUAGCUGGGCAUGGUGGCACGUGCCUGUAAUCCCAGCUACUUGGGAGGCUGAGGGAGGAGAACUGAUUGAACCAGGAAGGUGGAGGUUGCAGUGAGCCACGAUCAUGCCACUGCACUCCAGCCUGGGUGUCAGAGGGAGACUCUGUCCCCCCGCCAAAAAAAGAAAACAGAGAUGGAGUCUAGCGGUGGGUCUGCCCUAGUGUGGAGGGUAGAGUGGGCUCCUGGACCGAUGCGGUUAUGUUUUGUUUUGCUUUUUGGAGACAUGGUCUCACUCUGUCACCCAGACUGGAGUACAGUGGCACAAUCAUGGCUCACUGCAGACUUAAGCUCUUGGGCUCAAGUGAUCCUCUCAUCUCUGCCUUUCAAGUAGCUGGGACUACAGGUGCCAGCCAUCCCACUUAGCUAGUUUUGUUUUAAGAGAUGGGGUCUCUCUAUGCUGCCCAGGUUAGCCUGGAACUCCCGGCCUUGAGUGAGCCACCUGACUCGGGCUCCCAAAGUGCUGAGAUUAUAGGCUUGAGCCACCAUGCCAGGCCAAAUGGUGCACAGUUUUUAAAUGAAAUAUUUAAAUCAUCUAAAGAGUCACGGGGAAUAAUGUAAUGAAUAUAAUACAAUACAAUGAAUACAAUGAAUAACACAAUGGCCUAAUAAAUGACAAGUUACCUUUAUAUCUAUGGAACUUUUUUUUAAUCCCUCCAGCUCUCCCCACCAAUGAAAACUCAGGCUGGGUGCAGUGACUCAUGCCUGUAAUUCUAGCACUUUCAGGGGCCAGAGUGGCCGGAUCACCUGAGGUUGCGAGUUCGAGACCAGCCUGACCAACAUGGAGAAACCCUGUCUCUACAAAAAAUACAAAAGUAGCUGGGCAUGGUGGCGCAUGCCUGUAAUCCCAGCUACUCAGGAGGCUGAGGCAGAAGAAUCGCUUGAACCUGGGAGAUGGAGGUUGCAGUGAGUUGAUACAGCACCACUAUCCUCCAGCCUGGGCAACAAGAGCAAAACUCAAGAAAGAAAGAAAGAAAGAAAGAGAGAAAGAGAGAGAAAGAAAAAGAGAGAGAGAGAGAGAGAGAG